RNAcentral lists this ribosomal RNA (465 nucleotides) under uncultured bacterium. RNAcentral describes it as "partial 16S ribosomal RNA". It matches the Rfam family "Bacterial small subunit ribosomal RNA", at positions 28 to 507 of the family's 1533-position model. The record is from RNAcentral.
GACGAACGCUGGCGGCGUGCUUAACACAUGCAAGUCGUACGGUAAGGCCCUUUCGGGGGUACACGAGUGGCGAACGGGUGAGUAACACGUGAGUAACCUGCCCACAACUUUGGGAUAACGCUAGGAAACUGGUGCUAAUACUGGAUAUGUGCUCCUGCUGCAUGGUGGGGGUUGGAAAGCUCCGGCGGUUGUGGAUGGACUCGCGGCCUAUCAGCUUGUUGGUGGGGUAGUGGCCUACCAAGGCGGCGACGGGUAGCCGGCCUGAGAGGGUGACCGGCCCCAUUGGGACUGAGAUACGGCCCAGACUCCUACGGGAGGCAGCAGUGGGGAAUAUUGCACAAUGGGCGCAAGCCUGAUGCAGCAACGCCGCGUGCGGGAUGACGGCCUUCGGGUUGUAAACCGCUUUCAGCAGGGACGAAGCUUUUUGUGACGGUACCUGCAGAAGAAGCACCGGCUAACUACGUG